GAUGAACGCUGGCGGCGUGCCUAAUACAUGCAAGUCGAACGAAGCUUCUUUAUCACCGAGUGCUUGCACUCACCGAUAAAGAGUUGAGUGGCGAACGGGUGAGUAACACGUGGGCAACCUGCCCGAAAGAGGGGGAUAACACUUGGAAACAGGUGCUAAUACCGCAUAACCAUGAACACCGCAUGGUGUUUAUGUGAAAGGUGGUUUCGGCUACCGCUUUCGGAUGGGCCCGCGGUGCAUUAGCUAGUUGGUGGGGUAAAGGCUUACCAAGGCAAUGAUGCGUAGCCGAACUGAGAGGUUGAUCGGCCACAUUGGGACUGAGACACGGCCCAAACUCCUACGGGAGGCAGCAGUAGGGAAUCUUCCACAAUGGGCGAAAUCCUGAUGGAGCAACGCCGCGUGGGUGAAGAAGGUCUUCGGAUCGUAAAACCCUGUUGUCAGAGAAGAAAGUGCAUGAGAGUAACUGUUCAUGUUUCGACGGUAUCUGACCAGAAAGCCACGGCUAACUACGUGCCAGCAGCCGCAGUAA
Molecule: ribosomal RNA, 529 nt
Filed under: uncultured bacterium
Lineage: Bacteria
Description: partial 16S ribosomal RNA
Rfam family: Bacterial small subunit ribosomal RNA
Source: RNAcentral